Globicephala melas (long-finned pilot whale) is the source of this 2873-nucleotide long non-coding RNA. RefSeq lists it as uncharacterized. NCBI's taxonomy places the organism in Eukaryota, Metazoa, Chordata, Mammalia, Artiodactyla, Delphinidae. The record is from RefSeq and is a predicted model, not a curated record.
GCUUGUGGUGAGGGUGCGGGUGAGGGUGAGGGCGGGGUAGCAUGGACUGAAGGUGGGGUUCUGGCGGUGGUGAUGGGGGACGACAGCGCUGGAGAUGAAGACGGCUAGGAGGAGGGAGUGGAGGAAAUAUCAGACCGCGCCUGGCCACGCCCUCCUCUGGCUCAGCCACCUCCUCCUCCUGGCUCACCCUCCCACACCCAGGACCAAUCCCCUCCACUCGCUGCAGCCCCAGCCCUGCUCCUUGCCUCCGCCGUGCCUGCCAGACCCACUGGAGAAACCACCCACUGAGUCCCCCUUCCCGCAGUGCCGCCGCGCCGGGUCCCCCCCUCCCCCGCCCCCACCCCGGCCAGCCCGCACAGGGACACGGAGACACGCGCCGCACAGGUAGCUCUGGAGCGAAGUACCCUCUCCAAGGCGGCCCAGAACACCGAGGGCCCCCGAAGAAGGGGGUUCCACCAGAGGCCCCGGCCACCUCCUGAUGAGAUGGAGCUCUCACUGGGUGUCUGCAAGGGUCUCAGCCAUUUCCGGGUUUGAGAAUCCUUUCCUCUUCCCGACAACUGCUCUCUCCCAUUCUACUGCUGCCGGCGGCGCCACACAGGGAGCUAGAGUGACAUGCCCAGGCGACUGAGCUUGGAGCGCUGCAAGGGACACAGAAGCAUCCUGGCCUCCCCCGCCUCUCCCAUCGCAAGACCUCCCUUGAUUCCAGUCCCAGGGGAAUUCCUGAGCAGGAGGGUGGCGGCUGAAGCAGGAACAGACACGCUCUGCCCGCAGGCGACAUGCAGACGGCCACCCGGAGGGCCCUGGGAGUUCUCAGGUGCGAUGGUCCCCAGCUGCUGACUCAGCACGUCCGCCCAGGCAGCACCUCCGUGCGCAGCACACACCCAGCUCGCCGGUGUCGGGGCACCGAGCCCAGCCCCAAAGGCACGAUUGGGAGGGCCUGCGCGCAGAUACGGCCAGGACACAGCUAACUGUGCACCUCAGAGAAACGAUGCAUUAUUUUUCAGAAUAAAAGUAUCUGGCCCCAAAGAACUGAAAACAGGGACUUGAACAGAAUCUUUUCCACCCCGGUUCACAGCAGCAUUAUUUGCAGGAGCCAAAAGGUGGAAACAGCCCAAGCGUCCACUGAUGGCUGAACACAUAAACGAAACGGGGCACACCCACACAACGGGCACCAUUCAGCCCCGAGUCACGAAGGGCCGACACGCACCACCACGUGGACGUACCCUGAAAACAUACGCUGAGCGCGAGAAGCCCGUCUCGAAACGACACAUACUGCCAUGAUUCCACUUAAGUGAGGGCCCCAGAGGAGUCAAAUUCAUAGAGACAGUAGAAUGGUGAUUCCCAGGCACUGAAGAGAGCGGGGUGGCGGGGGGCGGUGAGUGUUUAAUGGGUACGCAGUGGGGGAAGAUGAAAUUCUGCGGGUGGAUGGUGGUGACGGCUGCACAGCAGUGUGAGCGAGCUUCACGCCGCUGAACGUGCACGUGAAAGUCAUUAAAGCGGGAACUUUUAUUAUGCGUCUUUCACCACCAAGAAAGCACCAGUCCCGCUCCCCAGUAUCUGGGACAUGCUUAUACUAAACACGUGGAGUGGACUCAUAUUAAAAAUCUGUUCGUUGUUUAUCUGAAACCUAAAUACUCAGGAUACACGCUACGAAACUAUUAACUGUCUGAAAUAGCAAUUUCACUGGGUCUCCCGCAGUUUUAUCUGCUAAGUCUGGCGGCCCGGCCCUCUGUGGGGCGUGGGGAGAAGCCGGACCGAAGUCACUCAGGCUCCCCACCGGCAACUCCCCGCCACGCGUGGGCACGCUCACACGUGCACUGCCUUCCAGGCUCCCUGGAAAAGGGCCUCAGACCCUGCCCAUGCCAGCGGCAGGAGGGCAGAGGUUGACGUCAGAGCAGGGUCUGCCUUCCCACAGCCCCCACCUCCUUGGAGAACGGUGGGCCUCGCCGUCUCAGUCAACAGGAAGAUACAGUUAUCCCCAUCUCACAGAUGGGAAGACUGAGGCUGGGAGGGUUCUGAGACUUGCUCAAUGUCUCAAACGUGUUGCCUAGUGCUGGUCUCCUUCCACUGGCCCGAGUGCCUCCCUGUCCUCACUGAAGGGAAGGAAAUGAAAGUGCUGGGCACCUGGGGGCCCACCAGCAGCCCAGAGGUCCCAGGUACGGAGAUGAAGGCUCCUGGAAGAUGAGGGCAGAGUGGUGGCCUGGCCACCCUGCUAGCCUGCACCACCCCGUCAGUGGCCAGGAGCUGCUGAGACCUAGAACACCGUCAGGCAGCUGGGCAGGAGCCCACGGGGCCAGCGGCCACGCCCAAGCCCCGCACGGGAGGGACGCCUGCCGGGACACUCCCGCAGCAGCACAAACCCACCAGAAAGGGCCCCCACCACCCAAGCACACGGAGGGCUCCCAACCUGGGCAGCCGGGUGACCUCGGCAUUUGCCCGCUUCGCGGCUCCCCAGAGACGGACCCUGACCUCCUGUGGGGCCUGGGGGCUGUGGGAACGGGUGGGCCAGCCUACCUCCUGACCUCUCCAGCUCAGUUUCUGCAGGGUGGUCGAGCUGACGCAUCGGUCAGGGAAGGGCCAGGUGUCUACGCAGCCCGGGAAUUCUGCUCCCUCAGGCACCCAGGGUCUUGGUCUCCGCUCUGUUCAGCCACACCCAGCAGGCGAGGUGGGACGGUCCCACCCAGGGCAGUCAGCGCCAUCCCCAGAGAGGGGUCAAAGGGGCGGGACAGGCCCCACAUGACCUGGGCAAGGAGAGGCCCCUUCUGAUGCGGGCUGCCAGGCCCCUAGGCUGGCCGUGGGCUGGCCGUGAGUGGGGUCCUGCUGGCGCUGUCUUCCCCCCACCCUCCGACGUCUCUGCAGAGCCUGCAGGGCCC